AGCAUGUCUUAAUUCUAACACAUAUGUGAGUAUAUCUAAAUUCUCACAUGGACGCUGCAUGACUCAACUAAUCGAAAUCGCCUAAAAUUUGCUCUCUAGUUUUAGAUCCUUAUUAUUACUCCUACAUCUCACGGUGAUCAUGGUCUGCCAACAAUCUCACAGUAUCCAUCUCGGCCUUACGCAGUUCCUUACUGUCACAGGCAAGAUCUGCUCGUUGACCAUCGUCCCGAUGUCCACUGCCGUCCUCCAGGCAAGAGCUUCCUUGCUCCUCCAUCUCUCGCAACUCCGAUUCCACUAAAGACUGCAUGCGUGCACGGUCCCUGUCCCUGGGGUAGCUGCAGUACAAGAACGAGUAUAUGGAGGUGCAGACUAUGAAUGGUAUCGCUGUGCAAGUGUACAGCGCCUUGGCCAGGGAGGCCGCGUUCUGCCGAUCCCGUUGAACGCUCUUCCCCUUGCCGUCUGGAUCGUAUCCGAACACACGUUGAGCUAGGAGACCCACGAUCGGAGGCGCGAAGGAUGCUAGCACGGACUCCAAUGUCCCGUCGAGGGCAUAUAUGCUGGUUCUUGAUUUCUCUGGGACGAUCUCCGCCAUGAUAGGCCUGUAAGAUUGAGCAAGAUCGAGUUGAAAAAAGUUUCACAUCAUUCCGUUCCUGAAUAAUUACAAGAAGAACAUUUGGAUGCAUGCGAUGAAUGGCUUUACAAGUUUGUGGCGGGUCCGUUCCAGGAGAUGAAGACGCCCAUGACGAAGAGGACGACGCCGUAGGCAACGCCGGCGGACGGGUCCUCGGGGAGGCCCAGCAGCAGCACGGCGGCCAAGGGAACUGCCGAGCCGGCGCUGAUCUGGGACAGGACGAUCCUGCCGGCGUCUGGGUACCGUACGGCGAGGGCGUCGCCCAUCUUCCCGCCAAGGGAGCUGGCCACCCAGAAGAUGGUCAUGAGCACGGCGGUGUCGCCGUGGCUGAAGCCGAUCAGCUCCAGCCACAUGGUCCCGAAGGAGAGAGCGGACCACGGGAACGACCCGCUGACCCCCUGCGCCACGAAGAUCUGGAACGUCGGGAUCCGCACCACCAACUUGGCAUCCUCGAUCAUCUCCGCGACCACCUGCCGCGCGGUGACGGCGGGCCGCCGCUUGCCGACCGCCGGAACGUCGACAACGCGCUCGCUCGUCGGCGGGGAAUGGGGAUCCACGGCGAGGAACCAGUUCAGGGCCCCGACGGCGACGCUGAUGGCCGCCACGAGGUGGAACGCGACACGCCAGCCGGCGACGCCGAGAACCGUGGUCUGCGCCAGGAGCAGGCCGACGAAACCGCCAGAGAUGGACCCGAGGCUGCUGGCGAGCUGCAGCCACCCGAACGCCGACCCGCGCGUCGCCUCGUCGGUGGAGUCGGCGACCAGUGACUGGAUCGAUGGCACCACCAGAGCUAGGCCAAUCCCGUUCAGGCCGCGUGAGAUUGCAACCUGAACAUUCGUACAAGUGUUGGUUGUCAAUGAGCACUUCUCCGACAAGAAUCACUCUGCUGAACCACCGCGCAUCUGUCCCAAAUUAAUCUACCACAGAAGAAGAUCUACAGAGCAAAUUGCAAAGGAACAGCAUGGAAGCAAGCGGCGAAGAACAAAUCAAACAGCGCUUGUAAAAGCAGCAGAUCACCUGUAGGAAGGUGCCGGACACGCCGACGAAAAACGUGGCGGCGGCCCAGAGGAAGGCGCCGACGGCGAUGACGUGGGCGCGGUUGUGGCGCGCCGCGGCGUAGGCGGCCAGCGGGUAGCAGGCGGCCUGC
This 1778-nucleotide long non-coding RNA is filed under the name Sorghum bicolor (sorghum). RNAcentral's name for it is "long non-coding RNA (SBIC_LNC003503)". Lineage: Eukaryota; Viridiplantae; Streptophyta; Magnoliopsida; Poales; Poaceae. The record is from RNAcentral.